AGCUCUGCUGUGGGGCAGCCACAGCACCCAGCUCAGUGAGGACCCGGCCAGCGGUGGCUCAGUCCCUCCAGGUUUCCUGUGUGCAAGGCUUGUGUUGUAACUGGUUAGAUGGUUGUGAAGUGAGGGAAGGAGAGGGGUUCAAAAUGCAUUAAAGAACCCAGAGAAGACUCCUCCUGCUGGCUGCACUCGACAGACAAGGCGUGCCACAGCAUUCCUUCAUUGUUCCGAACUGGGACCCAGGCUUGAGGUGUGCUCAGAGCUGAUGAAAGCAACUGAAAACUACAGUUCCACUUCAGGUUUUGCAGUGAGAAAUGGUAUCAAAUACAGCCUGGAAAGGAUCUGACACUGUUUGAUGAUCCAGUAUCUCCAGGAGUUCCAAACUGGCACUACUUCAGGCAAGUAUAUCAGGGGCCGGUGGUCUUGUUAAUGCAUUUAGGACUUGUCUGAAGCUUCAGUGAGCUU
This is a long non-coding RNA of Strigops habroptila (Kakapo), 462 nucleotides long. RefSeq lists it as uncharacterized. NCBI's taxonomy places the organism in Eukaryota, Metazoa, Chordata, Aves, Psittaciformes, Psittacidae. The transcript has 3 exons. The record is from RefSeq and is a predicted model, not a curated record.